This is a long non-coding RNA of Manis pentadactyla (Chinese pangolin), 178 nucleotides long. RefSeq lists it as uncharacterized. The transcript has 3 exons. The record is from RefSeq and is a predicted model, not a curated record. NCBI's taxonomy places the organism in Eukaryota, Metazoa, Chordata, Mammalia, Pholidota, Manidae.
CCCCUGGAGUCACACACGGGCUGAGAGAGGCUGCCCAGGGGCAGCCCUUGCUCGGGGGCCAGAAGGGACUAGGCUGCCUUCAGUUCAGCCUCUGAAGGUCCGCAGGCCCCUCCAGGCCGAGAGCGAGGGGCAGGGACCCCACGCAGAAGCCAGGCACUUGGCAAGCUGCCUUCCAGCC